UUCUUUAUUUUUAUCCUACGGUAGAAAAAUUGCAUCUUUUGUUACUCUCCUUCCGCCAUUCGAUCCACACAGUUCCUGAUCACAAAUUCAAAACCCUAAUUUUAUUUUUCAUUUCAUUUUUAUGAUGGCAUAGCUGUUUGAUUAGGCACAAAAACCCUCAGGUUCUGGUCCCUUUGGAUUUUCCUCCGAGCUAAAUCAAAUGGGUAGUUUUCAAGUUUUUUAUUUGAAUAUCUUUUUCCCAUGAAUCUGGUUUCGAUUUUGUGCGGCGAAGUGUAUAUAGGGAACAGUCCGGCCAUAACAAGAGAAAAGAGAAAAUCAUUGAAUUCCAAAGAUGAAUAUCAAUCGAAGGAGCUUCCUUUUCGAGACCCGAUCGUGGCGGGUCUUGGCCGGAGCGUGGCCUUUGAGGCGGAUCGGGUUGUAUGGUGGUGGAUCGGGGCGUUUGGAGACAUUGGGACCGGAGAUGGGAGCGUUUGGGGCCAGAGAGGUUGUGACCGAGAAGAAGAAGAGAGGAAGAAGAAGAAGAGAUUCAGAAGAAGAACAGAGAUGCAGCUCAGAGGAGAAGAGAAGAAAGGGUGGCUGCUAGGGUUUCUGGACCCUCUGUUUUUUUGUUCUGUAGCUGCUAGGGUUCCAGACGCGUUUUGGCAGAGUGUAUGGUAGAGAGAUGGAGCAGCUUGGUGAGGCUUAUGCGCAAGUACUUGAUGCAGAAUCAGUCAGCAGGUUUGAAUUCUGAUUGACAAUCACUGACAGCUUUGUUCAAUCCCCUUGUCCAAAUUGACUCAUUGAUUGAUUGAUUGAUUGUACAAAUAGUUAACCUAUCCCUAUUCCAAUGACCAUCUACUGGUAGAGUUAUGGGUUCUUGAUUUUUUAUAUUAAAUCUCCAACCCAAGCUAUCUAUAAAUACCACCAUUGUUUUGUUAUUUUUCCUCAUUCUUGGUUGUUCCUUUGUUUGGGGUUGUGGUAUCCAAACUUAUUUGUGCAUUGUGUUUUCUUGAUGGUUUUAAUUGCUGGUUUUAAUGGCUGGAGCAUUGAAUCCCCUUCGUUCCAUAUGCAUUGGGAUCGAUCCUAAAAAAGAUACUUGGAGAGUGAAGGUUCGGGUUCUUCGUGUUUGGGAUAUGUUUCCAGUUGGUGAACCCUCAAAACCUUACGCUAUCCAUGUUGUGCUUAUUGAUGUAGAGGGUGUGAAAAUUGAGGGCAUCAUUAAGAAAGGGAUGCUAAAAAAGUUUAGAGGUGAACUGGUUGAGGGCAGUGUAUAAAGGAUAACUUAUUUUAAUGUUAUUUCAAACUCUGGUGCAUUUCGUGCCACUGAGCAUGGGUUCAAGAUAGUAUUUAAUAGCCGGACAAAGGUUGUGCCUGAUUCUGGUGAGACGAUUCCAACUAUUGGUUUAUCAUUGAAGCACUGUGCUGAAAUUGGGAUGACACUUGGUGAAUCUGACUUUCUAAUAGCUGGAACUAACAGUAGAUUGGAAACUCUUUGUAGUGGAAGGGAUACAUGGAGGAUUAAAGUAAGAGUCGUUCGAGUAUGGGAGAUGUGCCCAGUUUCUGAACCAUCAAAACCAUAUGCAAUGAGUAUUGAAGGUGAAUCCAGGAGUUUAUGUCCAAGCUAGGAACAGGAGAAACAUCAGAUUGAACCGAAAAAUUUGCAAAAGCUGAAGUAGUUCAAACCCACCAUGGAUGAGAAGAUGGGAAUCAGAUGCAGUUACCUUUUUAGACUUGAUGAUGGUAACAUGGUUAGUACUUAAGUAGAGUAAUAUGUAAAUUUUAGAUUUUGAAAGUUUGAUGUUGAUUCUCUAAGAUUUGUGUUUUUCGUUUGUGGGGGAUGUGUCCUAUUGCUGAUUCCUCAAAACCAUGCUAUGCAUCUUGUCCUAAAUGAUGCAGAGGUUAUAUUUUUGGCAUGUUAUUGUUUUAUAGUUUUCUGUCCUACAAUUACUACAGUCAUUUACAGGGUGUGAAAAUUGAGGCUUCCAUCAAGAAAAAUCACAUUAGUAAAUACGUAAGUGACUUGGCUGAAAAUUGAUUUGGAUCUCUUUUUUCCUUGCUGCAUUUUCACAUGCUGAAAUACAUGGGAGUACAGGAAAAUAACGAGAGAAGGUGUUAAUCUUUCAAAUGUGACGGCAGGCAGGUCGUUCGUUAGAUAGCUAAUUUUUUGCUGCUUGACUAUGAGGUGUCUACAAGGGAAACACAUUACAACACCUGGAGAGAGCAAACUCCAUAAUAUUGGGAUAGUGUAGGCAUACUUAAUUAUUUAAGUUUCAGAUUCUAGAAUUUGCUAUUGUUUUAAUAUGAAAGUAAUACUUAAUCUGUCAAGGAGCUCGCUCUGAUAUUGUACACAGAUAUUCUCACUUCAAGUUAGGUUUUUCAGCUACUUGUGUGGGGCAUGGUUGAGUUACUAAGAUAUUGAUUACUGUUGGGCUUGUCAGAAUGCAUUUUCAUGAUUGUUUAUUAUAGUAAGUCAUCAUAUAUAUGAAGCAUUUAUUUCUUAUCA
This is a long non-coding RNA of Lotus japonicus, 2482 nucleotides long. RefSeq lists it as uncharacterized. The transcript is spliced from 6 exons. The record is from RefSeq and is a predicted model, not a curated record. NCBI's taxonomy places the organism in Eukaryota, Viridiplantae, Streptophyta, Magnoliopsida, Fabales, Fabaceae.